GGUCAAGUUACAAAGGGCUAACGGUGGAUACCUAGGCACACAGAGGCGAUGAAGGACGUGGCGACCGACGAUAAGCUCCGGGGAGCUGGAAGCAAGCAUUGAUCCUUAUAUGU
RNAcentral lists this ribosomal RNA (113 nucleotides) under uncultured cyanobacterium. RNAcentral's name for it is "partial 23S ribosomal RNA". It matches the Rfam family "Bacterial large subunit ribosomal RNA", at positions 1 to 113 of the family's 2925-position model. The record is from RNAcentral. Lineage: Bacteria; Bacillati; Cyanobacteriota.